RNAcentral lists this ribosomal RNA (253 nucleotides) under uncultured bacterium. RNAcentral's name for it is "partial 16S ribosomal RNA". It matches the Rfam family "Bacterial small subunit ribosomal RNA", at positions 524 to 776 of the family's 1533-position model. The record is from RNAcentral.
UACAGAGGGUGCGAGCGUUGUCCGGAAUCACUGGGCGUAAAGGGCGCGUAGGCGGCCUGGUAAGCGUGCGGUGAAAGCCCGGGGCUCAACCCCGGGUCGGCCGUGCGAACUGCGAGGCUGGAGCACUGUAGAGGCAGGUGGAAUUCCGGGUGUAGCGGUGGAAUGCGUAGAGAUCCGGAAGAACACCGGUGGCGAAGGCGGCCUGCUGGGCAGUGGCUGACGCUGAGGCGCGACAGCGUGGGGAGCGAACAGG